GCCAUCGUGGUGUUGCGGUCAGCAUGCUCGGCCCGCAUUCGAGAGGUCCGUGGUUCGAGUCCCAGCGAUGGCA
This 73-nucleotide transfer RNA is filed under the name Stegodyphus mimosarum. It matches the Rfam family "tRNA". Rfam says of the family: Transfer RNA (tRNA) molecules are approximately 80 nucleotides in length. Lineage: Eukaryota; Metazoa; Arthropoda; Arachnida; Araneae; Eresidae. The record is from Rfam by way of RNAcentral.